RNAcentral lists this ribosomal RNA (1545 nucleotides) under uncultured bacterium. RNAcentral's name for it is "bacterial SSU rRNA". It matches the Rfam family "Bacterial small subunit ribosomal RNA". The record is from RNAcentral.
AGUGAACGCUUGCGGUAAGCUUUACACAUGCUAGUCGAACGAAAUUUAGAAAGAUAUUUUUUAGCAAAGUAUCUUUUAUAUAGGUUUAGUGGCGUAAGGGUGAGUAAGUAUAAGAAUCCACAAUCAGAGGUGGCAAAAGAUCCAUCAUAAGAAUUUUGACAUAAAAAUUGUUUUUAUAAAAAAUUGAAUAAAGAUUUUGUAUUACUGAUAAAGGAGUUUAUAUAGGAUUAGGUAGUUGGAGUCGUAAAAGCCUUCCAAGCCAAUGAUCCUUAGCUGGACUGAGAGGUUGGUCAGCCACAUUGGGAGUGAGAAGAGGCCCAGCUUUUUAUAAGGCAGCAGUGUGGAAUAUUGGACAAUGAACGAAAGUUUGAUCCAGCUAUACCGCGUGGAUGAUAGAAGGCGAAUGCUGUAAAAUCCUUUCAGUGGGUUUAUGAAAGUGACAAUAAACCACAGAAGAAAUCCCGACUAACUUCGUGCCAGCAGUCGCGGUAAUACGGGGGGGAUUAGUGUUAUUCUUCGUGACUGGGCGUAAAGGGUGCGUAGGCGGUUUUGCAAGUUUAAAUCAAAAAAUCUUAGCGUAACUCAGAAAUUGGUUUUUAUACUACAAAACUAGAGGUCAGGAGAGGUUAGUUGUAUUCUUGGAGUAAAAGUGGAAUUUAAAGAUACCAAGAGGACAACCGAAGGCAGAGGCAACUUGCUAGAAUGAUACUGACGCUGAGGCACAAAAGCGUGGGGAUCAAACAGGAUUAGAGACCCUGGUAGUCCACGCCCUGACCGAUGAAUGUUAGGUGUUGGGAUAAUACAUUCCAGCAUUUAAGCUAACGCGUAAACAUUCCGCCUGGGUAGUAAAGUCGCAAGGUUAAAACUCAAAGGAAUUGACGGAGGUCCGAACAAGCGGUGGAGCAUCUGGUUUAAUGCGAUAUAACGCGCAAAACCUUACCAGUCUUUGAAUCAUUGUUUAAGUCUUACAGGAGGCAAAAUAUUUAUUCUUUGUAUUAAGUAUUUGAACAAUAGUCAGGUGCUGCAUGGCUGUCGUUAGCUCGUGUUUUGAGAUGUUUGGUUGGCUCCAUUAACGGGCGCAACCCUUAUUCUUAUUUGCGUAAAUUUAGGAUAAUUUUAUAAGAUAAGAAAACUGCCGAUAUUAAAUGAAUGGAGGAAGGUGAGGAUGACGUCAAGUCAGUAUGGCCUUAAUAGACUGGGCUACACAGGUGCUACAACGGUGAUGCCAAAGGGAAGCAAUAGCGCGAGUUGGAGCAAAUCCCAAAAAAGUUACCUUAGUUCGAAUUGUUCUCUGAAACUGGGAGCAUGAAGGAGGAAUCGCUAGUAAUCGUAAAACAGCAUGUUACGGUGAAUUUGUAUCCGGACUUAGUACACACCGCCCGUCACGCCAUGGGAACUGGUUCAUUGAAAAUAGAUAGUCAUUUCAGUAAUACUUUUCAUAUGCAUAAUUAUUAUAAUUUUUGGGCGAGUUAGAAAACAUUUUAGCUUGUUCAAGUGGGAAGUACGUAGGGGUAGUUUAUUAAGGCUGGAUUGGUUACUGGGGCG